GUUCUGGGCCGCACGCACGCUACACUGACGGAGCCAGCGAGUACUCCCUUGGCCGGAAGGCCUGGGUAAUCUUGUUAAACUCCGUCGUGCUGGGGAUAGAGCAUUGCAAUUAUUGCUCUUCAACGAGGAAUCCCUAGUAAGCGCAAGUCAUCAGCUUGCGUUGAUUACGUCCCUGCCCUUUGUACACACCGCCCGUCGCUACUACCGAUUGAAUGGCUCAGUGAGGCGUCCGGACUGGCCCAGAGAGGUGGGCAACUACCACUCAGGGCCGGAAAGCUCUCCAAACUCGGUCAUUAGAGGAAGUAAAAGUCAUUAC
This 316-nucleotide ribosomal RNA is filed under the name Trichoderma sp. MDU-11. Its description in RNAcentral is "SSU rRNA". It matches the Rfam family "Eukaryotic small subunit ribosomal RNA", at positions 1479 to 1795 of the family's 1831-position model. The record is from RNAcentral. Lineage: Eukaryota; Fungi; Ascomycota; Sordariomycetes; Hypocreales; Hypocreaceae.